This 425-nucleotide ribosomal RNA is filed under the name uncultured bacterium. RNAcentral describes it as "partial 16S ribosomal RNA". It matches the Rfam family "Bacterial small subunit ribosomal RNA", at positions 354 to 796 of the family's 1533-position model. The record is from RNAcentral.
GUGGGGAAUCUUAGACAAUGGGGGCAACCCUGAUCUAGCCAUGCCGCGUGAGUGAUGAAGGCCUUAGGGUUGUAAAGCUCUUUCAGUGGGGAAGAUAAUGACGGUACCCACAGAAGAAGCCCCGGCUAACUCCGUGCCAGCAGCCGCGGUAAUACGGAGGGGGCUAGCGUUGUUCGGAAUUACUGGGCGUAAAGCGCACGUAGGCGGAUCGGAAAGUUGGGGGUGAAAUCCCAGGGCUCAACCCUGGAACUGCCUUCAAAACUAUCGGUCUGGAGUCCGAGAGAGGUGAGUGGAAUUCCGAGUGUAGAGGUGAAAUUCGUAGAUAUUCGGAGGAACACCAGUGGCGAAGGCGGCUCACUGGCUCGGUACUGACGCUGAGGUGCGAAAGCGUGGGGAGCAAACAGGAUUAGAAACCCCGGUAGUCC